RNAcentral lists this ribosomal RNA (371 nucleotides) under uncultured organism. RNAcentral describes it as "bacterial SSU rRNA". It matches the Rfam family "Bacterial small subunit ribosomal RNA", at positions 526 to 896 of the family's 1533-position model. The record is from RNAcentral.
CGUAGGGGGCAAGCGUUGCCCGGGUUCACUGGGCGUAAAGCGGGUGUAGGCGGUUCUUUAAGUCAGAUGUGAAAUCCUACGGCUCAACCGUGGAAUCGCAUCUGAUACUGGGGAACUUGAGGACGGUAGAGGUCGGUGGAAUUCCCGGUGUACCGGUGAAAUGGGCAGAUAUCGGGAGGAACACCAGUGGCGAAGGCGGCCGACUGGGCCGAUCCUGACGCUGAGACCCGAAAGCCAGGGUAGCGAACCGGAUUAGAUACCCGGGUAGUCCUGGCCGUAAACGGUGCGAACUAGGUGUGGGGGCUGUCAUGGCCUCCGUGCCGAAGCUAACGCAUUAAGUUCGCCGCCUGGGGAGUACGGCCGCAAGGCUA